RNAcentral lists this ribosomal RNA (1745 nucleotides) under Vibrio cholerae. RNAcentral describes it as "partial 23S ribosomal RNA". It matches the Rfam family "Bacterial large subunit ribosomal RNA", at positions 1223 to 2925 of the family's 2925-position model. The record is from RNAcentral. Lineage: Bacteria; Pseudomonadati; Pseudomonadota; Gammaproteobacteria; Vibrionales; Vibrionaceae.
AUUGGGUAGGGGAGCGUUCUGUAAGCCGUUGAAGGUGGUCUGUAAGGGCUGCUGGAGGUAUCAGAAGUGCGAAUGCUGACAUGAGUAACGACAAAGGGGGUGAAAAACCUCCUCGCCGGAAGACCAAGGGUUCCUGUCCAACGUUAAUCGGGGCAGGGUGAGUCGACCCCUAAGGUGAGGCCGAAAGGCGUAAUCGAUGGGAAACGGGUUAAUAUUCCCGUACUUCUGACUAUUGCGAUGGGGGGACGGAGAAGGCUAGGUGGGCCAGGCGACGGUUGUCCUGGUUCAAGUGCGUAGGCUUAAGAGUUAGGUAAAUCCGGCUCUUUCUAAGGCUGAGACACGACGUCGAGCUGCUACGGCAGUGAAGUCAUUGAUGCCAUGCUUCCAGGAAAAGCCUCUAAGCUUCAGAUAGUCAGGAAUCGUACCCCAAACCGACACAGGUGGUCGGGUAGAGAAUACCAAGGCGCUUGAGAGAACUCGGGUGAAGGAACUAGGCAAAAUGGUACCGUAACUUCGGGAGAAGGUACGCUCUUGAUGGUGAAGUCCCUCGCGGAUGGAGCUGACGAGAGUCGCAGAUACCAGGUGGCUGCAACUGUUUAUUAAAAACACAGCACUGUGCAAAAUCGCAAGAUGACGUAUACGGUGUGACGCCUGCCCGGUGCCGGAAGGUUAAUUGAUGGGGUUAGCGCAAGCGAAGCUCUUGAUCGAAGCCCCGGUAAACGGCGGCCGUAACUAUAACGGUCCUAAGGUAGCGAAAUUCCUUGUCGGGUAAGUUCCGACCUGCACGAAUGGCGUAAUGAUGGCCACGCUGUCUCCACCCGAGACUCAGUGAAAUUGAAAUCGCUGUGAAGAUGCAGUGUACCCGCGGCUAGACGGAAAGACCCCGUGAACCUUUACUACAGCUUGGCACUGAACAUUGAACCUACAUGUGUAGGAUAGGUGGGAGGCUAUGAAGACGUGACGCUAGUUGCGUUGGAGCCGUCCUUGAAAUACCACCCUUGUAUGUUUGAUGUUCUAACUUAGACCCGUUAUCCGGGUUGAGGACAGUGCCUGGUGGGUAGUUUGACUGGGGCGGUCUCCUCCCAAAGAGUAACGGAGGAGCACGAAGGUGGGCUAAUCACGGUUGGACAUCGUGAGGUUAGUGCAAUGGCAUAAGCCCGCUUAACUGCGAGAAUGACGGUUCGAGCAGGUGCGAAAGCAGGUCAUAGUGAUCCGGUGGUUCUGUAUGGAAGGGCCAUCGCUCAACGGAUAAAAGGUACUCCGGGGAUAACAGGCUGAUACCGCCCAAGAGUUCAUAUCGACGGCGGUGUUUGGCACCUCGAUGUCGGCUCAUCACAUCCUGGGGCUGAAGUCGGUCCCAAGGGUAUGGCUGUUCGCCAUUUAAAGUGGUACGCGAGCUGGGUUUAGAACGUCGUGAGACAGUUCGGUCCCUAUCUGCCGUGGGCGUUGGAAGAUUGAAGGGGGCUGCUCCUAGUACGAGAGGACCGGAGUGGACGAACCUCUGGUGUUCGGGUUGUGUCGCCAGACGCAUUGCCCGGUAGCUAAGUUCGGAAUUGAUAAGCGCUGAAAGCAUCUAAGCGCGAAGCGAGCCCUGAGAUGAGUCUUCCCUGACGGUUUAACCGUCCUAAAGGGUUGUUCGAGACUAGAACGUUGAUAGGCAGGGUGUGUAAGCGUUGUGAGGCGUUGAGCUAACCUGUACUAAUUGCCCGUGAGGCUUAACCAUACAACACCCAAGGGGUUUUGUA